AUGGAUCCCUCGCCCGAUCCGCUCGCCGCCUCCGCCCCAUUCCCCACCAUCCCCGCCGCCACCCACAGGCCGCGGGUCGCCCGCCCGCGGCGCCAGGCCGCCCCCUUUCGUUCCGACCACUCCGGAGCCUCCUGCUCCCCCAGCCGGCGCCUCGGCGGCGAUCCCUCGAGCUUCGCUGCGGGCGCUGGCUCGCGACCGAGCACCGCAGGCGGAUCACGCCCCUCGGCCUUCGUCUUCGGCGCGGACGCCUCGACGUCUAACCGCGCCGUCGCGGAGGAUCCGGCGUCGGCGGGCUCAUGGGGUUCUUCCCGUGGCGCUAAUUUUGUUUUUGGGAGUGGCGUCUCGGCGAGAUCGGAGAUGAAGAGAAGCUCCUCGGUUGGAUCCAGUGCUGCCUCGUUGUGCAGCCUCUCUGCAGCAGCCGAUGAGCUCGUACAAGAUUCUUCCGGCAAGCAAAGAGAUGACCGUGCUCACGUUUCUAGAGGAAAUGAUUCCGUCCUGGAGAUAAAUUCUCGGGGUACUUUUGGUGCCUCGGAAAGCAAUUUGAAGUCACAUGAGGUUUUUCGUCCGAGCAUUCUUCAUGGUGUUGCCAAGCAGCGCGAUGAAGGGCGUGGCAUGCUCUCUCAGACGGUAGGGUGCAAGAGUACGGAAACAAAUUCAUCAUUAGUUGGUCAAGCGGUCAAUGCAACAAAAUGUACUGACAGGAAUGAUUCCAUGGAAGUCCCCAUGGACUGUGGUAACUCAUCCGUAGGAGAUUCUGUAGAUAAAGUUUACUUCACAAAGGAUGGAAGCAAACUUUCUGCAACUGGUGUUAAUGUCAAACAUGAUUUGUUUGUUUUCGGGGGACGUGCUAGUGCUCAACAUAGUCUGUUCACUGCAAAUACAGAGCAAAGUAAUUUCAAGAAGUUGGAUUCAUCUGAUAAAGAGGAGGUAACAUGCAGUUCUGAACAACUUGGUCUUUCAGCUACUGAGGAUGGCAGAUGUAUCAAGUCACAGCUUGCACCUGGUUCACGUAAUGGGGGUGCUCCACAUUCCAGACCUUGUCAAGUCCAUGAAACAGAAAAAGCCUCGAAUACUGCACCUUUUAGCAUUGGAGCUCAAGAUGACAUUGUGAAGGUUUCUUUCACAAAGUUGCCUGAUGGUAUGCAAACACAAGUAGGUGCAGCAUCUGGACUUGGUGAAUGUCGAUCUUUCGAUGGGAGAUCAGUUUCUCUACAGGAACACAAUUUAGCAUCUGGAGACAAGGGAGUGAUUAAGGCUAUGAGCAUGAAUAGAAGGGCAGUUAAACCAAAGAAGUUUUCCUCAACCCGUCAGGUUUCUUCAUUGCGGAAUGCCCUUGCACCUGACAGUUUUUCUGGAAAAGUGACUCCGGAGACAAACUUUAGUAUGGAACAAUCUGGAAAAGUUGGCCUCAGGUUAGAGGGUUCUGAUAACAGUGGCCCAGAGGUAGCUGAUGCUACGCAAACAGCAGAAAGUAGCCAUGAUGGAGCUGGGCUUACUUUUGCAGCAAACUUGGAAAGUUGUGGUAACUCUGACUUAAUAUUUGCUUCAUCUACUUUCGAUCGAAUUAAGUUGGGUUCACAAAGACAACAGAAUAGAAGUUCUGAAGGAAUGACGACUCAUACUAACUUUGUUCAAAGCCUUCCUACAUCUGCCAUUAGUCUUGCACACACAAAAGUUUCAGCAAGCCAGCCAGGCACAGUUUUAGCGCCUCAAUGGACUGAAUACAGCAAAGCAGAACCUACAGUAGUAACAUGUACAAAAACAGGAAACUUUAGAUAUCAGGAGGACUGUGAAACUUGGCGUAUAAGGGGGAACCAAGCUUAUGCUGCAGGACAGUUAGCUAAGGCGGAGGAAUGCUAUACCCAUGGGAUUAAUUCUGUUUCUCAAAAUCAAGCUUCUCAGAAAGCAUUAAUGCUGUGCUACAGCAAUCGUGCAGCUACCCGGAUAUCUCUUGGUAGGAUGAGAGAUGCCCUCUCUGAUUGUCGGAAAGCUACUGAAAUUGAUUCCAGCUUUCUCAAGGCACAAGUCAGAGCUGCCAAUUGUCUACUUGCUCUGGGGGAUGUCGAAGAAGCACAAAAGGGUUUUGAAAUCUGUUUGAAGUCUAAUCAUGCGGCAAGCUUGGAUCGUAAAGUCAUAGAAGAGGCUUCUGAUGGUCUACAAAAAGCUCAGAAAGUAUCUACUUUCAUGCUUCAAUCCAAGGAAUAUCUUGUUAAAAAGGAAUUUGACAAGAUACCAAGUACCUUACAAAUGAUCACAGAUGCUUUGUCCAUAAGCAUUCAUUCAGAUAACUUGAUGAAAAUGAAAGCAGAAGCCCUGUUACUGUUGCGGCGAUAUGAAGAAUUAAUUCAGUUUUGUGAAGAAACUCUGCAACUGGCAGAAAGAAAUAGUGUGCCUCUGUGUCUUGAUGAGCAUCUAGAAAACAUUAACUUGGACAGCUACGGGUUUUCUGUGAAAUCUUGGCGCUAUUAUCUUAUCGCCAAGUCAUAUUUCUUCAUAGGAAAGCUUGAAGAGGCUCAUCAGUUCUUGAAAAAGUACGAGCAAACAACACCUGCGGAAUACAAGUGCGGGAAGCAGUCUCAACAAUCAGUUUCGUUACUUUCGAAGACAAUCUCUGAACUACUGCGUCUUAAAGUUGCUGGGAAUGAAGCUUUUCAAGCUGGUAAAUAUUCAGAGGCUGUGGAACAUUAUACUGCUGCUUUGUUGAGCAACGCGGAGUCAUUACAUUUUUCAGCAAUCUGUUUUGGCAACCGUGCGGCUGCAUACCAAGCAAUGGGCCAAAUUUUAGAUGCCAUAGCAGAUUGUUCGCUAGCUAUAGCCCUUGACACUAGCUAUUGUAAGGUUAUUUCUAGAAGGGCUAGUUUGUAUGAACUUAUAAGGGACUACGAUCAGGCAGAAAAUGAUCUUCGAAGACUAAUUUCUCUUCUUGAGGAACAACUACAAGACAAUAUGUCCAUGCCAUCAGAAAAAUUAGAUAAUGUUCGUAACAAUCUACACCGAGCCAAUCUUAGGCUUUCUGCUUUGGAGCGUGAUGCCAGAAAAAGGACAUCACUGAAUAUGUAUCUGAUAUUAGGAAUUGAGCCAUCCUGCUCUGCUGUGGAUAUAAAAAGAGCAUACCGCAAAGCAGCAUUAAGGCAUCAUCCAGACAAAGCAGGUAAUUUUCUCGUGAGAAGUGAAAAUAUCGAUGAUACAGUAUGGAGCGAAAUUGUGAAUGCGAUCCGCAGAGACGCUGAUUAUUUGUUCAAAAUAAUUGGGAAAGCAUAUGCUAUACUUUCGGACCCAACCAUGAAGAAUAAAUGA
RNAcentral lists this ribosomal RNA (3297 nucleotides) under Triticum aestivum (bread wheat). RNAcentral describes it as "partial small subunit ribosomal RNA". Lineage: Eukaryota; Viridiplantae; Streptophyta; Magnoliopsida; Poales; Poaceae. The record is from RNAcentral.